This 759-nucleotide ribosomal RNA is filed under the name uncultured euryarchaeote. Its description in RNAcentral is "bacterial SSU rRNA". It matches the Rfam family "Archaeal small subunit ribosomal RNA", at positions 102 to 859 of the family's 1478-position model. The record is from RNAcentral. Lineage: Archaea; Methanobacteriati; Methanobacteriota.
GGAUAACCUGCCCUUGGGACCGGGAUAACCCCGGGAAACUGGGGAUAAUACCGGAUAACGCAUAUCUGCUGGAAUGCUUUAUGCGUAAAAUGGAUUUGUCUGCCCAAGGAUGGGUCUGCGGCCUAUCAGGUAGUGGUGGGUGUAAUGUACCUACUAGCCUACGACGGGUACGGGUUGUGAGAGCAAGAGCCCGGAGAUGGAUUCUGAGACAUGAAUCCAGGCCCUACGGGGCGCAGCAGGCGCGAAAACUUUACAAUGCGGGAAACCGUGAUAAGGGGACACCGAGUGCCAGCAUCAUAUGUUGGCUGUCCAGAUGUGUAAAAUACAUCUGUUAGCAAGGGCCGGGCAAGACCGGUGCCAGCCGCCGCGGUAACACCGGCGGCCCGAGUGGUGAUCGUGAUUAUUGGGUCUAAAGGGUCCGUAGCCGGUUUGGUCAGUCCUCCGGGAAAUCUGACGGCUCAACCGUUAGGCUUUCGGUGGAUACUGCCAGACUUGGAACCGGGAGAGGUAAGAGGUACUACAGGGGUAGGAGUGAAAUCUUGUAAUCCCUGUGAGACCACCUGUGGCGAAGGCGUCUUACCAGAACGGGUUCGACGGUGAGGGACGAAAGCUGGGGGCACGAACCGGAUUAGAUACCCGGGUAGUCCCAGCCGUAAACGAUGCUCGCUAGGUGUCAGGCAUGGCGCGACCGUGUCUGGUGCCGCAGGGAAGCCGUGAAGCGAGCCACCUGGGAAGUACGGCCGCAAGGCUGAAACUUAA